RNAcentral lists this unclassified non-coding RNA (199 nucleotides) under uncultured Piloderma. RNAcentral's name for it is "sequence contains ITS2". Lineage: Eukaryota; Fungi; Basidiomycota; Agaricomycetes; Atheliales; Atheliaceae. The record is from RNAcentral.
AAUCCUCAACUCCGAUCGAUUUGUUUCGACCCCGGGGCUUGGACUUGGAGUGUGCUGGCGUCUGGUCGGCUCCUCUCAAAUGCAUCAGCGGAAUUGAACCUUUGGGGUUUCCGGACAUCAGUGUGAUAAUCAAUGUUGUGCUGUUGUCUGACCUCAAAAGUCCGCUCACAAUCGUCCCUUCGUGGACAAAGCUCAUCAA